UACAGGGGGUGCAAACGUUGCUCGGAAUUAUUGGGCGUAAAGCGCGCGUAGGCGGCUACUUAAGUCGGAUGUGAAAGCCCCUGGCUCAACUGGGGAAGUGCACCCGAAACUGAGUGGCUUGAGUGCGAAAGAGGGUCGCGGAAUUCCCGGUGUAGAGGUGAAAUGCGUAGAUAUCCGGAGGAACACCGGUGGCGAAGGCGGCUUCCUGGACCGACACUGACGCUGAGGCGCGAAAGCUAGGGGAGCAAACGGG
Molecule: ribosomal RNA, 253 nt
Filed under: uncultured bacterium
Lineage: Bacteria
Description: partial 16S ribosomal RNA
Rfam family: Bacterial small subunit ribosomal RNA
Source: RNAcentral